CCCGACUGCUAUCGGGGUGAGGCUAAGCCAUGGGAGUCGCGCGCCCCGCCGCCGCGGGGCGCGGCGCACGGCUGAGUAACACGUGGCUAACCUGCCCUCGGGACGGGGAUAACCCCGGGAAACUGGGGCUAAUCCUCGAUAGGCGAGGGGGCCUGGAAGGGUCCCUCGCCGAAAGGGACCUCAGGGGGUUAUCGCCUGGGGUCCACCCGAGGAUGGGGCCACGGCCCAUCAUGGUAGUUGGCGGGGUAAUGGCCCGCCAAGCCGACGACGGGUAGGGGCCGUGGGAGCGGGAGCCCCCAGAUGGGCCCUGAGACAAGGGCCCAGGCCCUACGGGGCGCACCAGGCGCGAAACCUCCGCAAUGCGGGAAACCGUGACGGGGUCACCCCGAGUGCCCCCGUAAGGGGGCUUUUCCCCGCUGCAAGGAGGCGGGGGAAUAAGCGGGGGGCAAGUCUGGUGUCAGCCGCCGCGGUAAUACCAGCCCCGCGAGUGGUCGGGACUCUUGCUGGGCCUAAAGCGCCCGUAGCCGGCCCGGUAAGUCCCUCCUUAAAGCCCCGGGCUCAACCCGGGGAGCGGGGGGAUACUGCCGGGCUAGGGGGCGGGAGAGGCCGGGGGUACCCCAGGGGUAGGGGCGAAAUCCGAUAAUCCCUGGGGGACCACCAGUGGCGAAGGCGCCCGGCUGGAACGCGCCCGACGGUGAGGGGCGAAAGCCGGGGGAGCGAACCGGAUUAGAUACCCGGGUAGUCCCGGCUGUAAACUAUGCGGGCCAAGGUGUCGGCCCCCGUUUUCCCGGGUUGAACCUGGCGGUUUUAGGGGGAAUUACCGGGCGGGCUUAGGUCCUUGAAGCGCAGCGAGGAGCCCGACCGGGGGAGGCUGUGUUACUUUGCUGUAGACCCAAAUUUUCCCGGGGUAAUCCCCCGCAGAAGGCAGCGUGAAAAACCUCCCCUACGAGCUUAUAGAAGUGCCUUGUCGUCGUCUCGCCUCAUGCCGAAGUUGCCUGUCUAGUCCGGAAAAAAGGAGACGCCCCUCCCUUAUUGCCUCCAGGUGCUUUCCGAACCGGGCACUCCUAAGGGGACUGCUCGGCUAGAGCCGAGAAACGUGGGGCCUACGGAAGGUCGUAUGCCCGAAUCUCCGGGAUCACCCGGAGCUGCAAUGCGGGAUACACCU
Molecule: ribosomal RNA, 1165 nt
Filed under: uncultured archaeon
Lineage: Archaea
Description: partial 16S ribosomal RNA
Rfam family: Archaeal small subunit ribosomal RNA
Source: RNAcentral